GUUUCUUCUUAAAAAUUCAUGUUCAUAUUUUUAGGUCCAAAUCGGUAGUGUUUUCUUGGCUAAAUAUGAGGAUCAUAACUGACUCUACAGAGAUUAUUCUAGAGCACCUGACUUCCCACAAUGUUCCAACUAAGGAAAACACUCACUGAGAGUGGAGCCAGACCCCAUGCCCAGCAUAACUUGCCUCUGGGCCCUUGUUGACACAACUUUUCUUUCUGUCUAAUGGCAAUGAUCUUUCUUCUUUCUUUGCCAUUUGCCUUUCAAAAUUUGAUCUCUGGUUUCAUUAUAGUUCCCUUUACUUAGACUUUAGAAAUCACCUCAGUGGAAUGUUUCUGAUUCCUUUGUUGGAAUAUUCUUAGCUCUUUAGAAUUUUUCCAGAAUUCUGACCCUGGCUGUAGAUUCUAGACUUUGAAAUAUAUGAAUUCUUGACCUUCUGUGAUGAUUAAUUUUCUGUGUCAGCUUGACUGGGCUAAGGGUUACCAGAUAGCUGGUAAAAUAUUACUUCUGGGUGUGUCUGUGAGGGUGCUUCUGGAAGAGAUUAGCACUUGGUUCAGUGCACUGAGUAAAGCAGAUGGCCUUCCCCAAUGUGGUGGACAUUGUCCAGGCCACUGAGGGCCCAAGUAGAGCAAAAACGCAGAGGAAGGGUGAAUUCACUUUCUCUUCUUGAGCUGAGACAUCUAUCUACUCCUGCUGGUGGACAUCAGACAUCAGCUCCUUGUUCUUGGGCUUUGGGACUCAGACUGGGACUUACACUGUCAGCACCCCCUGACUCAGAUCUUGAUCCACAUGGAACCAUUGUUGGAUACUCAGGUAGUAGUAGCAGAAGUACAGAGUUUGAGAAGAAGUACCUGUGAGCCUAAGACCCAUGUUCACUGCCAUUUGACCACUGGACUGCUGGAGGAAUCAGAGGAAGGCAGGGAUUGGAAGCUAUGACUGCCAACAUCCCAAGCUGGCCACACUUCAAAAGCACCAGCUCUCAGAAGCAGUAUCUCUGGGAGUGGCACCAUUGGCAGAAUCUGGCUCAUCAUUGACCUGGAGACCCCGGCUCUGUAUAGCAGCCCAUCCAGGCAAACGUGCCUGUGGUUGACCCACAAAAUGCACUCACUCUGUGAGGGGCAAUAUUCAUCUGAUUGAAUGACUUGAAUGGGCCAGGGUUAGUUAUGUCUGCACAGAAAUCUACGCUGUAUUUUUCUUUUUCAAAGCUAUGAACUCCACUUGUCAGAAUAAAGAAUUUUUUUUUUUUUGCAAGAUUUCUCUCUGUCUCUGACUUCUCACGUUUCUUCUCUGCUACAUUAGCCCUGAAUGAGCUGUAAAUGGGAUAAUGUGGAGCAUGGGAAGGAUAAGAUGUUCAAUGGGGACAAGGCAGGGAGGGCAAUCCUUUUCAUAGUUGAUCUUCUAAUGACUUGUUCAGUCUUCCAGGUGGCCAGCCCCGUCAUCAGUACUAGCACUUUAGACAGUGUAUCCUUCCAGCUGCUAGUAUCUUUGUCAUACCUACUGUUGCAUUCAGUGCCACUCUGACAGGGCAAUGUUGGCAGAAUUUUUCUAACCUCAGGUACAAAAGCAAAGAAAAACAGUUAAAUGAUAAAUGGAUCAGAGCCAUUUCUUAUCUCCCCUUGGAAGGAAAUACAUUUUUUUUUUCUUUUUCCUCAGACAAAUGAGGGUGAAUUAAGACAGGCUUGUUGUGGGUAAAGAGAUGAAUCAAAGAAUUUCCUUAUGUUUCAAUCAAUACUAAGUGCUUUGACAUAUGUUUUCCACUGGGAGGGAGGAACUGGGGUUGUCAUAGAGUAAUUAGAAGCUGGUGCGCUGAGCAUUGUAUAUGCCCUUCAACCAAAUACCACAGGUAGUUAAGCCUUUUUGUGUGUCUCUGUGGCAGGGAUCCUCCUUUCUGGCGGUGAUGGAGAAGUGUCUGCAGAUGUUUUCUGCAGAUGUCUCCCAGUGGGGACUCCCUCUUACUGACUGCUUUUUCUUGUCACCUGCUUCCUUUCUUCAUUCCCAUAUCUAUCCAUUUCCUCACAGUGAACUUUUUGCUGCUAUGCUUGUGUGUCUCACACCUGCAUCCUACAUCCCUUGACUCUGACUUAGCUCUGUCCCUUCUUCCUUACAUCUGCAACCUGGCAAGAAGGCCACCUGUUCUUUUCCAGAUCUCUUGUCAAAACUCACUUUUGGGAGACAUUUUCAGUACAUUACCACAAUAAGUGCAUUUCUAAAGAUUAACAGUUGGAUAUUCAAAAGAAGGAAAAAUG
This is a long non-coding RNA of Equus caballus (horse), 2243 nucleotides long. Lineage: Eukaryota; Metazoa; Chordata; Mammalia; Perissodactyla; Equidae. The record is from Ensembl.